GAUGAACGCUGGCGGCGUGCCUAAUACAUGCAAGUCGAGCGAAUGGAUUAAGAGCUUGCUCUUAUGAAGUUAGCGGCGGACGGGUGAGUAACACGUGGGUAACCUGCCCAUAAGACUGGGAUAACUCCGGGAAACCGGGGCUAAUACCGGAUAAUAUUUUGAACUGCAUGGUUCAAAAUUGAGAGGCGGCUUCGGCUGUCACUUAUGGAUGGACCCGCGUCGCAUUAGCUAGCUGGGGGGGUAACGGCUCACAAAGGCAACGAUGCGUAGCCGACCUGAGAGGGUGAUCGGCCACACUGGGACUGAGACACGGCCCAGACUCCUACGGGAGGCAGCAGUAGGGAAUCUUCCGCAAUGGACGAAAGUCUGACGGAGCAACGCCGCGUGAGUGAUGAAGGCUUUCGGGUCGUAAAACUCUGUUGUUAGGGAAGAACAAGUGCUAGUUGAAUAAGCUGGCACCUUGACGGUACCUAACCAGAAAGCCACGGCUAACUACGUGCCAGCCGCCGCAGUAA
Molecule: ribosomal RNA, 515 nt
Filed under: uncultured bacterium
Lineage: Bacteria
Description: partial 16S ribosomal RNA
Rfam family: Bacterial small subunit ribosomal RNA
Source: RNAcentral